Molecule: ribosomal RNA, 448 nt
Filed under: uncultured bacterium
Lineage: Bacteria
Description: partial 16S ribosomal RNA
Rfam family: Bacterial small subunit ribosomal RNA
Source: RNAcentral
UCCAGACUCCUACGGGAGGCAGCAGUGGGGGAUAUUGCACAAUGGGGGGAACCCUGAUGCAGCGACGCCGCGUGGGUGAAGGAGCGUUUCGGCGCGUAAAGCCCUAUCGGCAGGGAAGAAGGAGGACGGUACCUGACUGAGAAGCCCCGGCUAACUACGUGCCAGCAGCCGCGGUAAUACGUAGGGGGCAAGCGUUAUCCGGAUUUACUGGGUGUAAAGGGGGCGCAGACGGCAGCGCAAGCCAGGAGUGAAAGCCCGGGGCCCAACCCCGGGACUGCUCUUGGAACUGCGCGGCUGGAGUGCAGGAGGGGCAGGCGGAAUUCCUGGUGUAGCGGUGAAAUGCGUAGAUAUCAGGAGGAACACCGGUGGCGAAGGCGGCCUGCUGGACUGCGACUGACGUUGAGGCCCGAAAGCGUGGGGAGCAAACAGGAUUAGAUACCCCAGUACU